UGGGGAAUAUUGGGCAAUGGGCGCAAGCCUGACCCAGCAACGCCGCGUGAAGGAAGAAGGCUUUCGGGUUGUAAACUUCUUUUCUUGGGGACGAAGAAAGUGACGGUACCCAAGGAAUAAGCCACGGCUAACCUACGUGCCAGCAGCCGCGGUAAUACGUAGGUGGCAAGCGUUAUCCGGAUUUAUUGGGUGUAAAGGGCGUGUAGGCGGGAAUGCAAGUCAGAUGUGAAACUAUGGGCUCAACCCAUAGCCUGCAUUUGAAACUGUAUUUCUUGAGUGCUGGAGAGGCAAUCGGAAUUCCGUGUGUAGCGGUGAAAUGCGUAGAUAUACGGAGGAACACCAGUGGCGAAGGCGGAUUGCUGGACAGUAACUGACGCUGAGGCGCGAAAGCGUGGGGAGCAAACAGGAUUAGAUACCC
RNAcentral lists this ribosomal RNA (418 nucleotides) under uncultured bacterium. RNAcentral's name for it is "bacterial SSU rRNA". It matches the Rfam family "Bacterial small subunit ribosomal RNA", at positions 355 to 787 of the family's 1533-position model. The record is from RNAcentral.